CGCCUACGGGGGGCAGCAGUAGGGAAUCUUCCACAAUGGGCGCAAGCCUGAUGGAGCAACACCGCGUGAGUGAAGAAGGGUUUGGGCUCGUAAAGCUUUGUUGUUGGAGAAGAACGUGCGUGAGAGUAACUGUUCACGCAGUGACGGUAUCCAACCAGAAAGACACGGCUAACUACGUGCCAGCAGCCGCGGGAAUAAGUAGGGGGGAAGCGUUAUUCGGAUUUAUUUGGCGGAAAGCGAGCGCAGGCGGGUGCUUUGGUCUGAUGUGAAAGCCUGCGG
This 279-nucleotide ribosomal RNA is filed under the name uncultured bacterium. RNAcentral's name for it is "partial 16S ribosomal RNA". It matches the Rfam family "Bacterial small subunit ribosomal RNA", at positions 336 to 607 of the family's 1533-position model. The record is from RNAcentral.